AAUAGAUUGCCUGAGUAAAAGGAUUAAAUUGUAAAUUUAAGAAUAAAAGUAAUAUUUUAUCUAUUA
RNAcentral lists this transfer RNA (66 nucleotides) under Bemisia afer. RNAcentral describes it as "tRNA-Tyr". Lineage: Eukaryota; Metazoa; Arthropoda; Insecta; Hemiptera; Aleyrodidae. The record is from RNAcentral.